Molecule: ribosomal RNA, 466 nt
Filed under: uncultured bacterium
Lineage: Bacteria
Description: partial 16S ribosomal RNA
Rfam family: Bacterial small subunit ribosomal RNA
Source: RNAcentral
GAUGAACGCUGGCGGCGUGCUUAACACAUGCAAGUCGAACGGAAAGGCUCCUGCUUGCAGGGGUACUCGAGUGGCGAACGGGUGAGUAACACGUGGGUGAUCUGCCCAGCACUUCGGGAUAAGCCUGGGAAACUGGGUCUAAUACCGGAUAGGACGAUGGUUUGGAUGCCAUUGUGGAAAGUUUUUUCGGUGUGGGAUGAGCUCGCGGCCUAUCAGCUUGUUGGUGGGGUAAUGGCCUACCAAGGCGUCGACGGGUAGCCGGCCUGAGAGGGUGUACGGCCACAUUGGGACUGAGAUACGGCCCAGACUCCUACGGGAGGCAGCAGUGGGGAAUAUUGCACAAUGGGCACAAGCCUGAUGCAGCGACGCCGCGUGGGGGAUGACGGCCUUCGGGUUGUAAACUCCUUUCGCUAGGGACGAAGCGCAAGUGACGGUACCUGGAGAAGAAGCACCGGCUAACUACGUG